UUGAUAUUGGCCGGGGUGCUAUACAUGCAAGUCGAGCGAACGGACGAGAAGCUUGCUUCUCUGAUGUUAGCGGCGUGACGGGUGAGUAACACGUGGAUAACCUACCUAUAAGACUGGGAUAACUUCGGGAAACCGGAGCUAAUACCGGAUAAUAUUUUGAACCGCAUGGUUCAAAAGUGAAAGACGGUCUUGCUGUCACUUAUAGAUGGAUCCGCGCUGCAUUAGCUAGUUGGUAAGGUAACGGCUUACCAAGGCAACGAUGCAUAGCCGACCUGAGAGGGUGAUCGGCCACACUGGAACUGAGACACGGUCCAGACUCCUACGGGAGGCAGCAGUAGGGAAUCUUCCGCAAUGGGCGAAAGCCUGACGGAGCAACGCCGCGUGAGUGAUGAAGGUCUUCGGAUCGUAAAACUCUGUUAUUAGGGAAGAACAUAUGUGUAAGUAACUGUGCACAUCUUGACGGUACCUAAUCAGAAAGCCACGGCUAACUACGUGCCAGCAGCCGCGGUAAUACGUAGGUGGCAAGCGUUAUCCGGAAUUAUUGGGCGUAAAGCGCGCGUAGGGCGGUUUUUUAAGUCUGAUGUGAAAACCCCACGGCUCAACCGUGGAGGGUCAUUGGGAAACUGGUAAACUUG
This 635-nucleotide ribosomal RNA is filed under the name Staphylococcus aureus. RNAcentral describes it as "bacterial SSU rRNA". It matches the Rfam family "Bacterial small subunit ribosomal RNA", at positions 30 to 644 of the family's 1533-position model. Lineage: Bacteria; Bacillati; Bacillota; Bacilli; Caryophanales; Staphylococcaceae. The record is from RNAcentral.